RNAcentral lists this ribosomal RNA (419 nucleotides) under Pithecopus hypochondrialis group sp. ABGD cluster 13. RNAcentral's name for it is "partial large subunit ribosomal RNA". It matches the Rfam family "Bacterial large subunit ribosomal RNA", at positions 1808 to 2426 of the family's 2925-position model. Lineage: Eukaryota; Metazoa; Chordata; Amphibia; Anura; Hylidae. The record is from RNAcentral.
CAAAAACAUCGCCUCUUGACAAUUAUAUAAGAGGUCCAGCCUGCCCAGUGACUCUGUUCAACGGCCGCGGUAUCCUAACCGUGCGAAGGUAGCGUAAUCACUUGUUCUUUAAAUGAGGACUAGUAUGAAUGGCAUUACGAGGGUUAUACUGUCUCCUUUUCCUAAUCAGUGAAACUAAUCUCCUCGUGAAGAAGCGAGGAUGAACGUAUAAGACGAGAAGACCCUAUGGAGCUUUAAACUUCCAGCAAUUAUCAUUUUUAUACCAACCUCAAGGUAAUCAAAUUAACUUAAAUACUAUGCCUGUUAGUUUUCGGUUGGGGUGACCGCGGAGUAAAAUUCACCCUCCGCAAUGAAUACUAAACGCUAAGCAAAAAACUACAAUUUUAUGCAUCAAAAAAUUGACACUAUUGACCCAACAC